Molecule: ribosomal RNA, 253 nt
Filed under: uncultured bacterium
Lineage: Bacteria
Description: partial 16S ribosomal RNA
Rfam family: Bacterial small subunit ribosomal RNA
Source: RNAcentral
UACGUAGGGUGCGAGCGUUGUCCGGAAUCAUUGGGCGUAAAGAGCUCGUAGGUGGUCUGUUACGUCUGCUGUGAAAACCUAGGGCUUAACCCUGGGCCUGCAGUGGAUACGGGCAGACUAGAGGUAGGUAGGGGAGAAUGGAAUUCCCGGUGUAGCGGUGAAAUGCGCAGAUAUCGGGAGGAACACCGGUGGCGAAGGCGGUUCUCUGGGCCUUACCUGACACUGAGGAGCGAAAGCGUGGGGAGCGAACAGG